UCCCACAACACGGAAUUAUGGGAGCUACAAGAUGAGAUUUGAGUGGGGACACAGAGCCAAACCAUAUCAUCCAGCGUCCAGGAAGAUUCAGGUCACUCAGACUUGAAGGAUGGGGUCAGUAAAACUCUGUGGAAACAAAAAGGUGUAGCAGAAAGACCACUAGAUGGGUGUCAGGAAACUUUGACUCUAACCCCAGCAAGGCCACUCGCAUUUUCUCUGUGAUUUUGUGUGUUGAAGAUUCUGCCACAUUGAUACAUAUCAGACAGACUUGCUCUUUAAAGACACCAAAGUGACUGGGCACGAUGGCUUACAUAGGUAAUCCCAGCACUUUGGGAGGCUGAGGCAGGAGGAUUGCUUGAAGCCAGGGGUUCGAGACCAGCUGGAGUGACAAAGUGAGACCCCACCUCUUUCUCUUUAAAAAAAGACAGCAAAGAAUUUUAUGAUAUGGAUGCACAUCUCAAGUAUUUUAACCAUCUCUUGAAAUGUUCUUGGGCCUCAGCCUAGGCACUAUGCCUAUAGAAACUAAUGGAUAAAGCAACCCUGCUUCUUUAAAGGCCUGGAGGCAAGUGCAAUCACGUUUAAUGCUGAAUAUGGCAAACUUAUUUUCCCUGUUGAAGCCAAGUAUCUGUGUGGAGGAUUAGUUGGAUGCAUGCUUCCAAAAGAAACCAGCUGUUCUUGUAAGUAAAGGCCUGCUGAAAGAAGAAACCAACCUAUUUAGCUUGGAGAAUAUGGGGGCACAGAUUGCCUUUUCCCAUCACCUGCCAGGAACACCAUGCACUUAUUUCAUCUCAAUGCAAGAUACAAGAUCUAGGAUCCAAAACACUAUUUUCUAUCACAAAGCCAGUUCUCACACCUUUUUCAGAUCAAAUGUUCCAGCCUCUUCAGAAAAGCUUAGAAAAUAGUCUUUCUUUCACUCCCCACCAGUCUUCAUUGUGACAUAUGUUGCAUAUCAUAACCCUUGGUACUGGAUGAAAGCUCCCAAUCUGAAUCAAGAACAGGUAAAGGUAAACAAAAAAUUGAGGCUAAAAGAAUCACUUAACCUGAACCACAUGGUAGGAAAAGCAUGCUAGAAUGGAAUAUCCAACCGGCUAUGGACAUUGUUUUUGGCAGACAAAUGAAUGGCCCCAUUAUAAAGGCAUCAGGGUUGGUGUAUUGUCCAACUCUAGGGGGCAACAUUGAAUUGUAUCCUAUCGUUAUGGUGCUCCCUGGAGUUCUGUAAACACAUAGGUCUGAGAGUGAUUAUCACAUGCCUAUCUUAUCCAGGGAAAUAAGGAGCAAAAUGGCCCAGAAGAAGAGAAAGAACAUUCUACCAAGUCACACGUAACCUACCAACAGUCCACAACUGCAAUUGAUUUCAUGCCCAACUCUUGCUACACCUAAGAUUUGCAUAACUUAGUACUGGGGAGGUUUUGGGGGAAACCAGAAUUCCACCUCUGAAGCCAAGCCAAAUCUUCAGUGACUGGAGACUGGGAAAGCUGCCUUUUUCAAAUUUAGUUUGUCUUUCCCAAUAGCACUUAAAGGACAAACGUGUUCUGUUCUGCAUCUUUGGAACUCACUAUUCAUGGUUAAGUCAUUGCCUUUGAGACUUUAUAAGGGCUAUUGGCAGUUUAGCUUUACAGUAAAUGUAGUGUAAUUUACACAAUAAAAUGCAGUCACUUGUUUAAUUACUUACCUCA
Long non-coding RNA from Homo sapiens (human), 1676 nucleotides. RefSeq lists it as uncharacterized. The transcript has 4 exons. NCBI's taxonomy places the organism in Eukaryota, Metazoa, Chordata, Mammalia, Primates, Hominidae. The record is from RefSeq and is a predicted model, not a curated record.